Molecule: ribosomal RNA, 468 nt
Filed under: uncultured bacterium
Lineage: Bacteria
Description: partial 16S ribosomal RNA
Rfam family: Bacterial small subunit ribosomal RNA
Source: RNAcentral
GACGAACGCUGGCGGCGUGCUUAACACAUGCAAGUCGAACGGAAAGGCCCUGCUUUUGUGGGGUGCUCGAGUGGCGAACGGGUGAGUAACACGUGAGUAACCUGCCCUUGACUUUGGGAUAACUUAAGGAAACUGGGGCUAAUACCGGAUAGGAGCUCCUGCUGCAUGGUGGGGGUUGGAAAGUUUCGGCGGUUGGGGAUGGACUCGCGGCUUAUCAGCUUGUUGGUGGGGUAGUGGCUUACCAAGGCUUUGACGGGUAGCCGGCCUGCGAGGGUGACCGGCCACAUUGGGACUGAGAUACGGCCCAGACUCCUACGGGAGGCAGCAGUGGGGAAUAUUGCACAAUGGGCGGAAGCCUGAUGCAGCAACGCCGCGUUCGGGAUGACGGCCUUCGGGUUGUAAACCGCUUUCGCCUGUGACGAAGCGUGAGUGACGGUAAUGAGUAAAGAAGCACCGGCUAACUACGUG